GAUGAAGAACGCAGCGAAAUGCGAUACGUAGUGUGAAUUGCAGAAUUCAGUGAAUCAUCGAAUCUUUGAACGCACAUUGCACCUCUCGGUAUUCCGGGAGGUAUGCCUGUUCGAGCGUCAUUUGUACCCUCAAGCUCUGCUUGGUGUUGGGUGUUUGUUCCGCCUCUGUGUGUGAACUCGCCUCAAAACAAUUGGCAGCCGGCGUACUUGUUUCGGAGCGCAGCACAUUUUGCGAUCCAGAUCAACGUACAGCGGCAUCCAAGAAGCCUUAUUUAACGCUCUUGACCUCGGAUCAGGUAGGGAUACCCGCUGAACUUAAGCAUAUGAAUAAGCGGAGGA
This 339-nucleotide unclassified non-coding RNA is filed under the name soil metagenome. Its description in RNAcentral is "partial contains 5.8S ribosomal RNA, internal transcribed spacer 2, and large subunit ribosomal RNA". The stretch from base 1 to 120 matches the Rfam family "5.8S ribosomal RNA", at positions 35 to 154 of the family's 154-position model. The record is from RNAcentral.